RNAcentral lists this ribosomal RNA (520 nucleotides) under uncultured Glomus. RNAcentral's name for it is "SSU rRNA". It matches the Rfam family "Eukaryotic small subunit ribosomal RNA", at positions 569 to 1092 of the family's 1831-position model. The record is from RNAcentral. Lineage: Eukaryota; Fungi; Glomeromycota; Glomeromycetes; Glomerales; Glomeraceae.
AGCAGCCGCGGUAAUUCCAGCUCCAAUAGCGUAUAUUAAAGUUGUUGCAGUUAAAAAGCUCGUAGUUGAAUUUCGGGAUCAGUAGGUCGGUCAUGCCUCAGGUAUGUACUGGUCUCACUGGUUCCUCCUUCCUGAUGAACCGUAAUGCCAUUAAUUUGGUGUUGCGGGGAAACUGGACUGUUACUUUGAAAAAGUUAGAGUGUUUAAAGCAGGCUAACGCUUGAAUACAUUAGCAUGGAAUAAUGAAAUAGGACGUUCGAUCCUAUUUUGUUGGUUUCUAGGAUUGACGUAAUGAUUAAUAGGGAUAGUUGGGGGCAUUAGUAUUCAAUUGUGAGAGGUGAAAUCCUUGGAUUUAUUGAAGACUAACUACUGCGAAAGCAUUUGCCAAGGACGUUUUCAUUAAUCAAGAACGAAAGUUAGGGAUCGAAGACGAUCAGAUACCGUCGUAGUCUUAACCAUAAACUAUAGACCGACUAGGGAUCGGAUGAUGUUAUUUUAAUGUACUCAUUCGCGCCUUACG